CGAUAUGACAGAGAAAAAAAAACAGGGCCGCACUCACCCACUCCUUCCCUAACCUCCAGAUUCCCUCCCAUCCAUUGCGCCGCCGGCCUCUCUCUUCGUUCUUCCGCCGCGCCGCCAGCCUCCGUCCCCAUGCUUCCACCGCGGCAACGGCCUCCCACCCCGUGCUUUCGCCGCAGCGCCACCUCCCUCCCCGUGCUUCCACCCCGCGCUGGGCUCCCUUACCCUGCUUCCACCCCCUCGCCGGCCUCCCUCCCCCUACUUCCACCCCGGCCACGACCAACCUCCCCUGCUUCCACUCCGGGGAUGGCCUCUCCCCCCUGCUUCCGGCGGCCCGCCCCUCCUCUAUGCGCCAUCCUCCACCAUCGUCGUUGCCAAAACAGAUCCCGCCACUGUUUGCCAGGACCUCGUCGAUGAUCUGUCGUGAGGCCCAGCGCCCCAUCGUCCGACGCGCCUAGCUAGCCCGCUCCCGCCGACCCUCUGCCCUCCCUCACCACGCGACCUGCGUGCUUCCCCCUACGACCACUGCAUGCCGCACCCGCGAGGAAACCAGCCACCCAUCGCUCCGGUCGCCCGUGCCAAAUCCAGAUGCAGUUCAGGGAGUCUUCCUGCUGCAGGUCGCACCGCUCUACCUACCAGCGCCGCAGCCAUGACGGUCGCCUCUUCAUGUGCCCUUGCUCUGCAUCUAGUAGGCUAGAAAUUGCACAUCUGUAUUUGGACGUCAGAGAAAGUGUAAAACAUUAUCUAAAUUCUGAAACUACAUGCUAUCCGUGCUUGCAGAUUGGACACCCUGCACCCAAUCUCCGACACUGUAACCCAUGUACGCCUCGGCGCUGCUGCUCGCGGCCAGGAUCUGGCGCCCAGCAUCCCCAUCGCCUCCAUGUUGCGCGAGCACCGGUGGGUGCAGGCGGCUGUCUUGUCAUCGCAGGUAGAGGAGAACUCGGCCUACAGUUGGAUGGCACACCCACCAGCGACGGAGAGCCACCUCCCGCCGCCGGCCGGCCAUCCCCGAGUCGUCUGUGGCUCUCGCCCUAGCUUUGGAUCCAGCGAGCACCUUAGGGGCGCGCCGGCGAUGCAGGCCACGUACCUCUCCCCAAUCUCUGCAACGAGAAGCCACCGACUGCGGACGGCGAGCUCCUGGAUCCUGCUGAUCUCGCUGUCCCCAACCCACAUGCGUGGCACGGACAUCGUUUCCUAUGACAGUUUCCGACACCCUGUGGUGUUGUUACCGUCAGCUACACCCUGUGGUAUUUGGUUUAAAUUACAGGAUUUUGCAAUUCAUGGUGUCGACGCAGAUUUUCUACCCUAUGAUGAUGAUGGGGACUUUGAUGAGGCAAUUGAUCUUGAUGAUGAUGAGGAUGAGCCAAAUCCUGACGAAUUCCAGUCUCAUGAUGCACUUAGUGGCUGGUCUUCUCGUACCAAGGGUGUUGCAAGAUAUCUCAAGACUUUAUUCGAUGAAGAGUCUGGUCGGGGGAGAAAGAAUGUUGUCAUUGAUCAUCUGGUAAAUGGAAAGUCUCGGAAAGAAGCCUCAAGGAUGUUCUUCGAGACCUUGGUCCUUUCGACGAAGGACUACAUUUAGGUGGAGCAACCAAUUCCCUUUGGUUUAAUAAACGUGAAGCCAGUAUCCAAGCUCCUGAAGACAGAUUUCUAGACCAAGACCAAGACCGCCUAGCAAAAGUGGCAUGAUAUACAUACAUCUUACAAUAUCUGUCACAGCACCAUCAACAACAUACAUAUUGUCUUCUUCAUCUUCGCCAUCGUUGUCGUGACUUGGCCGCUGUUGUUGGUGCGCUGCUACUGAAGUUCAGCUUGAGUGUGAGAGGAAAAAGAUUUCUGAGACAGAUUAGCUGCUGCUGUUGUCCUAGGUUUUUUUGGUCUUAAAUUAUUUCCGUUUCUAGGAAGUGUAUGUGUUGGUUGUGCAUGAAGCACGUGCA
Molecule: ribosomal RNA, 1931 nt
Filed under: Triticum aestivum (bread wheat)
Lineage: Eukaryota; Viridiplantae; Streptophyta; Magnoliopsida; Poales; Poaceae
Description: partial small subunit ribosomal RNA
Source: RNAcentral